RNAcentral lists this ribosomal RNA (1044 nucleotides) under Serratia symbiotica. Its description in RNAcentral is "bacterial SSU rRNA". It matches the Rfam family "Bacterial small subunit ribosomal RNA", at positions 64 to 1100 of the family's 1533-position model. The record is from RNAcentral. Lineage: Bacteria; Pseudomonadati; Pseudomonadota; Gammaproteobacteria; Enterobacterales; Yersiniaceae.
GUAACAGAGGAAAGGCUUGCCUUUUCUGCUGACGAGUGGCGGACGGGUGAGUAAAGUAUGGGGAUCUGCCGAAUGGAGGGGGACAACUGCUGGAAACGGCAGCUAAUACCGCAUAAAGUUGAGAGACCAAAGCGUGGGACUUUUUAGCCACGCGCCAUUUGAUGAACCCAUAUGGGAUUAGCUUGUUGGUAGGGUAAUGGCUUACCAAGGCGACGAUCUCUAGCUGGUCUGAGAGGAUGACCAGCCACACUGGAACUGAGACACGGUCCAGACUCCUAUGGGAGGCAGCAGUGGGGGAUAUUGCACAAUGGGGGAAACCCUGAUGCAGCCAUGCCGCGUGUAUGAAGAAGGCUUUCGGGUUGUAAAGUACUUUCGGUAAUGAGGAAGGUGUAUUAUCUAACAGGUAAUGCAAUUGACGUUAGUUACAGAAGAAGCACCGGCUAACUCCGUGCCAGCAGCCGCGGUAAUACGGAGGGUGCGAGCGUUAAUCGGAAUAACUGGGCGUAAAGGGCAUGCAGGCGGGUCAUUAAGUUAGGUGUGAAAUCCCCGGGCUCAACCUGGGAACUGCACUUAAAACUGGUGGUCUGGAGUAUUGUAGAGGAAGGUAGAAUUCCACGUGUAGCGGUGAAAUGCGUAGAGAUGUGGAGGAAUACCGGUGGCGAAGGCGGCCUUCUGGACAAAUACUGACGCUGAGAUGCGAAAGCGUGGGGAGCAAACAGGAUUAGAUACCCUGGUAGUCCACGCUGUAAACGAUGUCGAUUUGGAGUUUGGUGGCAUGACUGCUGGGCUUCGAAGCUAACGCGUUAAAUCGACCGCCUGGGGAGUACGGCCGCAAGGUUAAAACUCAAAUGAAUUGACGGGGGCCCGCACAAGCGGUGGAGCAUGUGGUUUAAUUCGAUGCAACGCGAAGAACCUUACCUGGUCUUGACAUCCACAGAAUUCUGUAGAGAUACGGGAGUGCCUUAGGGAGCUGUGAGACAGGUGCUGCAUGGCUGUCGUCAGCUCGUGUUGUGAAAUGUUGGGUUAAGUCCCGCAACGAGCGCU